GUCCAUGCCGUAAACGUUGGGCACUAGGUGUGGGGCUCAUUCCACGAGUUCCGUGCCGCAGCAAACGCAUUAAGUGCCCCGCCUGGGGAGUACGGCCGCAAGGCUAAAACUCAAAGAAAUUGACGGGGGCCCGCACAAGCGGCGGAGCAUGCGGAUUAAUUCGAUGCAACGCGAAGAACCUUACCAAGGCUUGACAUACACCGGAAAAGUGCAGAGAUGUGCUCCCCGCAAGGUCGGUGUACAGGUGGUGCAUGGUUGUCGU
RNAcentral lists this ribosomal RNA (262 nucleotides) under uncultured bacterium. RNAcentral's name for it is "partial 16S ribosomal RNA". It matches the Rfam family "Bacterial small subunit ribosomal RNA", at positions 793 to 1055 of the family's 1533-position model. The record is from RNAcentral.